CCUACGGGUGGCUGCAGUAGGGAAUAUUGGUUAAUGGGCGAAAGCCUGACCCAGCAACGCCGCGUGAGCGAUGAAGGCCUUCGGGUUGUAAAGCUCUUUUGACAGGGAUGAGGAAGGACAGUACCUGUGGAAUAAGUCUCGGCUAACUACGUGCCAGCAGCCGCGGUAACACGUAGGAGACAAGCGUUAUCCGGAUUUACUGGGUGUAAAGCGCGUGCAGGCGGUAGGAUAAGUUGGAUGUGAAAGCUCCUGGCUUAACUGGGAGAGGUCGUUCA
Molecule: ribosomal RNA, 275 nt
Filed under: uncultured bacterium
Lineage: Bacteria
Description: partial 16S ribosomal RNA
Rfam family: Bacterial small subunit ribosomal RNA
Source: RNAcentral